GACGAACGCUGGCGGUGUGCUUAACACAUGCAAGUCGAACGGUAAGGCCCUUUCGGGGGUCCACGAGUGGCGAACGGGUGAGUAACACGUGAGUAACCUGCCCUCAUCUCUGGGAUAACAGUCGGAAACGGUUGCUAAUACUGGAUAUGAGCUUGCAAGGCAUCUUGUGGGUUGGAAAGAUUUUUUUGGUUGGGGAUGGACUCGCGGCCUAUCAGCUUGUUGGUGAGGUAGUGGCUCACCAAGGCUUCGACGGGUAGCCGGCCUGAGAGGGCGACCGGCCACAUUGGGACUGAGAUACGGCCCAAACUCCUACGGGAGGCAGCAGUGGGGGAUAUUGCACAAUGGACGGAAGUCUGAUGCAGCAACGCCGCGUGCGGGAUGACGGCCUUCGGGUUGUAAACCGCUUUCAAUUGUGACGAAGCUUUUUGUGACGGUAGCAGUAGAAGAAGCACCGGCUAACUACGUG
This 466-nucleotide ribosomal RNA is filed under the name uncultured bacterium. RNAcentral's name for it is "partial 16S ribosomal RNA". It matches the Rfam family "Bacterial small subunit ribosomal RNA", at positions 28 to 507 of the family's 1533-position model. The record is from RNAcentral.